This 253-nucleotide ribosomal RNA is filed under the name uncultured bacterium. RNAcentral's name for it is "partial 16S ribosomal RNA". It matches the Rfam family "Bacterial small subunit ribosomal RNA", at positions 524 to 776 of the family's 1533-position model. The record is from RNAcentral.
GACGAACCGUGCAAACGUUGUUCGGAAUCACUGGGCUUAAAGGGUGUGUAGGCGGACUUUUAAGUCAGGGGUGAAAUCCCGAGGCUCAACCUCGGAACUGCCUUUGAUACUAUUGGUCUUGAAUGUUGUUGAGGUGGGCGGAACGGGUCAUGUAGCGGUGAAAUGCAUAGAUAUGACCCGGAACACCGAUUGCGAAGGCAGCCCGCUAAGCAACUAUUGACGCUGAGGCACGAAAGCGUGGGGAUCAAACAGG